RNAcentral lists this ribosomal RNA (252 nucleotides) under uncultured bacterium. RNAcentral's name for it is "partial 16S ribosomal RNA". It matches the Rfam family "Bacterial small subunit ribosomal RNA", at positions 524 to 776 of the family's 1533-position model. The record is from RNAcentral.
UACGUAGGGAGCAAGCGUUGUCCGGAAUCAUUGGGCGUAAAGCGCGCGUAGGUGGCCUCAUAAGUCCGCUGUGAAAGUCAAAGGCUCAACCUUUGAAAGCCGGUGGAUACUGUGAGGCUAGAGUACGGAAGAGGCGAGUGGAAUUCCUGGUGCAGCGGUGGAAUGCGCAGAUAUCAGGAGGAACACCAAUAGCGAAGGCAGCUCGCUGGGACGUUCUGACACUGAGGCGCGAAGGCGUGGGGAGCGAACAGG